This 381-nucleotide unclassified non-coding RNA is filed under the name uncultured bacterium. Its description in RNAcentral is "contains 16S-23S intergenic spacer region". The record is from RNAcentral.
UCCUGGUUUCCCAGGCAGUCCCAUCAGAGUGCCCCGUAAAGGUAGCAACUGACAGUAAGGGUUGCGCUCGUUAAAGGACUAAACCCAACAUCUCACGACACGAGCUGACGACAGCCAUGCAACACCUGUGUACAUGUCCAAACAAAAGCUUGGAAAAUUGUAUUUCUACAACUGUCAUGCACAUGUCAAACCCAGGUAAGGUUCCUCGCGUAGUAUCGAAUUAAACCACAUGUUCCACCGCUUGUGCGGACCCCCGUCAAUUUCUUUAAGUUUUAGUCUUGCGACCGUAAUCCCCAGGCGAACCACUUAACGCGUUAGCUUGGACACUAAUUCAGCAAGCUGAACUAACGUCUAGUGGUCAUCGUUUACAGCGUGGACUAC